GGUGGCUCAGUGGUAGAGUGCUUGCCCUGUAUGCAUGAGGACCUGGGUUCGAUUCCUCAGCACCA
This is a non-coding RNA of Dipodomys ordii (Ord's kangaroo rat), 65 nucleotides long. Lineage: Eukaryota; Metazoa; Chordata; Mammalia; Rodentia; Heteromyidae. The record is from Rfam.